Molecule: non-coding RNA, 109 nt
Organism: Acanthosepion pharaonis
Lineage: Eukaryota; Metazoa; Mollusca; Cephalopoda; Sepiida; Sepiidae
Source: the annotation of a GenBank genome assembly
UUACGGCCACAUCACAUAGAAACCACUUUCCAUACGAUCAUUGAAGUUAAGCAACGUUGAAACUGGUCAGUAUUUAGAUGGGUGAUCGCUUGGGAGUAGCAGGUGAUGU